RNAcentral lists this ribosomal RNA (585 nucleotides) under uncultured bacterium. RNAcentral describes it as "bacterial SSU rRNA". It matches the Rfam family "Bacterial small subunit ribosomal RNA", at positions 338 to 916 of the family's 1533-position model. The record is from RNAcentral.
CCUACGGGAGGCAGCAGUGGGGAAUAUUGGACAAUGGGCGCAAGCCUGAUCCAGCAAUGCCGCGUGGGUGAAGACGGCCUGCGGGUUGUAAAGCCCUUUAGGCGGGGAAGAACGGCCGGGCGUGAAUAGCGCGCGGCUCUGACGUUACCCGCAGAAUAAGCACCGGCUAACUCCGUGCCAGCAGCCGCGGUAAUACGGAGGGUGCGAGCGUUAAUCGGAAUUACUGGGCGUAAAGCGUGCGUAGGCGGUUCGGUCAGUCAGCCGUGAAAGCCCCGGGCUCAACCUGGGAACGGCGGUUGAGACGGCCGGACUAGAGUGGGCUAGAGGAUCGUGGAAUUCCCGGUGUAGCGGUGAAAUGCGUAGAGAUCGGGAGGAACACCGAUGGCGAAGGCAGCGGUCUGGGGCCACACUGACGCUGAGGCACGAAAGCGUGGGGAGCAAACAGGAUUAGAUACCCUGGUAGUCCACGCGGUAAACGAUGAGCACUAGACGUCGGGUGGGUGACCGUCCGGUGUCGCAGCUAACGCGCUAAGUGCUCCGCCUGGGGAGUACGGCCGCAAGGUUGANACUCAAAGGAAUUGACGG